RNAcentral lists this ribosomal RNA (253 nucleotides) under uncultured bacterium. Its description in RNAcentral is "partial 16S ribosomal RNA". It matches the Rfam family "Bacterial small subunit ribosomal RNA", at positions 524 to 776 of the family's 1533-position model. The record is from RNAcentral.
UACGAAGGGGGCUAGCGUUGCUCGGAAUUACUGGGCGUAAAGGGAGCGUAGGCGGACAGUUAAGUCAGUGGUGAAAGCCCAGAGCUCAACUCUGGAAUAGCCUUUGAUACUGAUUGUCUUGAGUAUGGGAGAGGUAUGCGGAACUCCGAGUGUAGAGGUGAAAUUCGUAGAUAUUCGGAAGAACACCAGGGGCGAAGGCGGCAUACUGGCCCAUUACUGACGCUGAGGCUCGAAAGCGUGGGGAGCAAACAGG